Molecule: long non-coding RNA, 1325 nt
Organism: Oncorhynchus nerka (sockeye salmon)
Lineage: Eukaryota; Metazoa; Chordata; Actinopteri; Salmoniformes; Salmonidae
Exons: 3
Source: RefSeq, a predicted model, not a curated record
UCAAUGGUGAAGCAUGAUCUAAAGAUGAAUGAGUGAGAGGAAGACGAGUACGAGGAAGGAGAGUUGUCUCAGAUGAGAUCAGGGCCACAUUGGUUGACAACAAUGGAUUGAGUAUGAGGGAGGCGAGGCAGAGAGUUCAGCCCAACCUGAGCCGCUACACGGUUGCAUCUCUCCUCCUCCAUACAUUCAGAAAUGAGAACCGAACUGAGAGACGGCCAGGUCAUGGUGGAAGACACCGGCUGUUCACACCAGAACAGGAGACCGCUUUUGUGAUCAUGGUGGUGGCAAACAAUACCAUUAGACAACGAGAAAUCCAGAACCACAUAAUUGCAGACAACACAAUAUUCAAUAACAUUCACCAGGUGGGCUUGUCUACAUUGGACCGUGUAUUACAACGCAACCAAAUCCGGAUGAAACAGGUCUACAGGGAGCCAUUUGAGCGCAAAGAACAGCGCUAUGCAUAUGUGCAAAGUCUUGGAUCUGGAUGCUGAUGCAAUUCAGCACGUUUAUAUUUACGUUGAUGAGGCUGGCUUCGACCUAGCCAAAAGAAGGGGACAAGGACUGAACUUUAUUGGCCACCGUGCCAUUGUGAAUGUCCCUGGACAGCGUGGAGGGAAUAUCACCAUGUGUGUAGACGUUAGCCAGCAAGGCGUCCUCCAUCACCAUGCCAACCUUGGUCCCUUCUACACUGCCCUUCCCAUCGCAUUCCUGGACACACUACAUGGCAUCCUCCUUCCAGCCGAGCAGAGGGGUGGACCAGAGCAGCCCAGGUAUGUUGUCAACGUGAGUUUCACGGGCUGUUCUGGUCCGCAACUGGUUCAUCGACCACACACAAUUUAUUGUUCUAUACCUCCCACCAUAUUCCCCAUUCCUAAACCCAAUUGAAGAGGUUUUUUUUUCGUUAUGGUGAUGGAAGGUCUAUGACCGCCAUCCCCUCGCACGCAUGCCCCUUCCCCAGGCAAUGGAGGAUGCAUGUGGUGAAAUUGAUGUGGGAGCUUUCUUCGGCUGGAUCCGUCACGACCAGAAGAUUCUUUCCCUGCUCCUUAGCCAGGCAGAACAUCGCUUGUGAUGUAGAUGAGGUGCUGUGGCCAGACCAAAAUAGGAGGCAGGAUGCAGCCUAAUGUUUUUUUUUCUUACAUUUUGUGUGUUUUGACUCUUUGUUUAGAGUUUUGAAAGAAUGAGCCACUUUCAUUUUUUAUUUUUGUACAGAAAACCCUUUAUCUUACUGAAUGUUUUUCCUUGUUUUCUCCUGUUGGGUAUGGAAAGUGCUACAUACACAACACGUGUUCAAAAAUACUGCAUUUUGGAAAUAAAUGACAAUGUUU